GACGAACGCUGGCGGCGUGCUUAACACAUGCAAGUCGAACGGAAAGGCCCUGCUUUUGUUGGGUGCUCGAGUGGCGAACGGGUGAGUAACACGUGAGUAACCUGCCCUUGACUUUGGGAUAACUUCAGGAAACUGGGGCUAAUACCGCAUAGGAGCUCCUGCUGCAUGGUGGGGGUUGGAAAGUUUCGGUGGUUGGGGUUGGACGUGCGGCUUAUCAGCUUUUUGGUGGGGUAGUGGCUUACCAAGGCUUUGACGGGUAGCCGGCCUGAGAGGGUGACCGGCCACAUUGGGACUGGGAUACGACCCGGACUGCUACGGGAGGCAGCAGUGGGGAAUAUAGCACGAUGGGCGGAAGCCUGAAGGAGCAACGCCGGGUGCUGGAUGACGGCCUUCGGGGUGUAAACCGCUUUCGCCUGGGAAGAAGCGUGAGUGACGGUAAUGGGUAAAGAAGCACCGGCUAACUACGUG
RNAcentral lists this ribosomal RNA (468 nucleotides) under uncultured bacterium. RNAcentral describes it as "partial 16S ribosomal RNA". It matches the Rfam family "Bacterial small subunit ribosomal RNA", at positions 28 to 507 of the family's 1533-position model. The record is from RNAcentral.